GUUGAGUAGCUCAACCGGGUAGAGCACCAGACUUAAAAACCUGGCAGUCGCGGGUUCGAAUCCUGCCUCAACCA
Molecule: transfer RNA, 74 nt
Filed under: Planctomyces sp.
Lineage: Bacteria; Pseudomonadati; Planctomycetota; Planctomycetia; Planctomycetales; Planctomycetaceae
Description: tRNA-Leu
Rfam family: tRNA
About the family: Transfer RNA (tRNA) molecules are approximately 80 nucleotides in length. Their secondary structure includes four short double-helical elements and three loops (D, anti-codon, and T loops).
Source: RNAcentral